UACGAAGGUCCCAAGCGUUGUUCGGAAUCACUGGGCGUAAAGCGCACGUAGGCGGAUUGCUAAGUCAGGGGUGAAAUCCUGGAGCUCAACUCCAGAACUGCCUUUGAUACUGGCGACCUUGAGUCCGGGAGAGGUGAGUGGAACUGCGAGUGUAGAGGUGAAAUUCGUAGAUAUUCGCAAGAACACCAGUGGCGAAGGCGGCUCACUGGCCCGGUACUGACGCUGAGGUGCGAAAGCGUGGGGAGCAAACAGG
RNAcentral lists this ribosomal RNA (253 nucleotides) under uncultured bacterium. Its description in RNAcentral is "partial 16S ribosomal RNA". It matches the Rfam family "Bacterial small subunit ribosomal RNA", at positions 524 to 776 of the family's 1533-position model. The record is from RNAcentral.